RNAcentral lists this small nucleolar RNA (233 nucleotides) under Moschus moschiferus (Siberian musk deer). Its description in RNAcentral is "Small nucleolar RNA U3 (ENSMMSG00000021019.1)". It matches the Rfam family "Small nucleolar RNA U3". From Rfam's summary of the family: Small nucleolar RNAs (snoRNAs) are involved in the processing and modification of rRNA in the nucleolus. There are two main classes of snoRNAs: the box C/D class, and the box H/ACA class. Lineage: Eukaryota; Metazoa; Chordata; Mammalia; Artiodactyla; Moschidae. The record is from Rfam by way of RNAcentral.
AAGACUACGCUUUCAGGAAUCAUCUUUAUAGUUCAUUGCUAGAGAAUUAGAAUUUUUCUUGAGUGGGUAUUAUGCUCUUCUUGUACCCAUAAGCCACGAGGGAGAGGAAUAGUGUUCCUUACUGAGUGUGAAGCCAAUUCUUGGCAGUGUGUUUUUUCUUUGUAACUGCCAUUGGUUGUUGAUGAUCUAUUUUCUCAUUAUCUGAGAGAGUGAAAAAAAGUUAUAUGAGUGGC